AUUUAUCCUUAAGAUUUCUUUAAGCUUAUUUCUUGAACGGAAUAUAUUUCUGUUUGAGCUGCAAGCAUAUAUUGAUCAAUUGAAUGACUUUAUGGUUAUUUUGUACAGGCAUACGCGGAGAUGGAAGGUGUUUGUUUCGAUUUGUGGUUCAUGGAGCUUGUCUAAGAGCAGGGAAGCCAUCUCCAAGUGAAAGCCAUCAGAAAGAACUUGCAGAUGAGCUUAGAGAGAAGGUUUCUUGAAGAUGAUUUUGAGAGAUACAUUGUACAGCUGUGGCAACCCCAGAUUUGGGGAGGCGAGCCUGAGUUGCUUAUGUCCUCACAUGUCCUACAAAAACAUGGAAGAUAAGCAAGGGGAGAUCAAUUGGAGCAAGCUGCUGAGGCCCAUGAUACUGCAAAAGCCACCUAAUAAGGUUGAGGUAUUACUUGUUUUGGAUGGUAUGAAUUGAGUUAUAUAUGCAGCAGCAGCAGCAGCAGUAGUGUCUAGGAACUGCUUUUGUGCAUUUUCACAGAACUGCCUAUAGAUAUGCUUUUGUUUCUGGUAGGUUAUGAGCAGUAGUAGUGGCUAGGAACUGUUUUUGUGCAUUUUGACAGAAUUGAUGGAAAGUGUUGAACAAAUGCAUGCAGUUGCUGUAACUACUCUAUGGAUGCUACUAGGUUUUUGUCUUAGUUAGAUUAAGAUCCGUGCAACAAUGGCAGUCAUUAAAAUCAUUUAAUGUAAAGGCUAGCAUGCUAGCUAGUUUAGUAUUAUG
Molecule: long non-coding RNA, 748 nt
Organism: Rosa chinensis
Lineage: Eukaryota; Viridiplantae; Streptophyta; Magnoliopsida; Rosales; Rosaceae
Exons: 4
Source: RefSeq, a predicted model, not a curated record